Molecule: transfer RNA, 71 nt
Filed under: Colomys lumumbai
Lineage: Eukaryota; Metazoa; Chordata; Mammalia; Rodentia; Muridae
Description: Colomys sp. l TG-2021 tRNA-Asn
Rfam family: tRNA
About the family: Transfer RNA (tRNA) molecules are approximately 80 nucleotides in length. Their secondary structure includes four short double-helical elements and three loops (D, anti-codon, and T loops). Further hydrogen bonds mediate the characteristic L-shaped molecular structure. tRNAs have two regions of fundamental functional importance: the anti-codon, which is responsible for specific mRNA codon recognition, and the 3' end, to which the tRNAs corresponding amino acid is attached (by aminoacyl-tRNA synthetases). tRNAs cope with the degeneracy of the genetic code in two manners: having more than one tRNA (with a specific anti-codon) for a particular amino acid; and 'wobble' base-pairing, i.e. permitting non-standard base-pairing at the 3rd anti-codon position.
Source: RNAcentral
UAGAUUGAAGCCAGAUAUAGGGUAUUUAGCUGUUAACUAAAAUUUCGUGGGUUUGAUUCCUGCCAAUCUAG